GAUCUCGUGGUGUGGCGGUUAUCACAUCUGUCUAACAUAGAAUGUCAGCGGUUCGAGUCCGCCCGAGAUCA
Molecule: transfer RNA, 71 nt
Filed under: Angiostrongylus costaricensis
Lineage: Eukaryota; Metazoa; Nematoda; Chromadorea; Rhabditida; Metastrongylidae
Rfam family: tRNA
About the family: Transfer RNA (tRNA) molecules are approximately 80 nucleotides in length. Their secondary structure includes four short double-helical elements and three loops (D, anti-codon, and T loops).
Source: Rfam by way of RNAcentral